Non-coding RNA from Pelobates cultripes (western spadefoot toad), 212 nucleotides. The record is from the annotation of a GenBank genome assembly. Lineage: Eukaryota; Metazoa; Chordata; Amphibia; Anura; Pelobatidae.
CACCUCUACCCUCAGAAGUGGAAGAAAUGCAAAAUAGCCCCCCACCCAAUGGCACCCUCACUGGUAGCGACUGACAGUGUCCCCGGCCACUAAAAGGGAUUUACAAACCAUGCUGGCUGGCCUCCAACAGAACCUUAAACAGAUGUGGGAAGCAGAUUUGACAGUACUCACGACUGAGGUACAGGCUGUGACCGCAUGCACUCAAGUAACAG